UACGUAGGGUGCAAGCGUUGUUCGGAAUCACUGGGCGUAAAGGGAGCGUAGGCGGAAUUGUAAGUCAGGAGUUUAAUACGCGGGCUCAACCCGCGGCUUGCUCUUGAGACUGCAUUUCUUGAGUAUGGGAGAGGGUGAUGGAAUUCCAGGUGUAGCGGUGGAAUGCGUAGAUAUCUGGAAGAACACCAGUAGCGAAGGCGGUCGCCUGGCCCAAUACUGACGCUGAGGCUCGAAAGCUAGGGGAGCAAACAGG
This 253-nucleotide ribosomal RNA is filed under the name uncultured bacterium. Its description in RNAcentral is "partial 16S ribosomal RNA". It matches the Rfam family "Bacterial small subunit ribosomal RNA", at positions 524 to 776 of the family's 1533-position model. The record is from RNAcentral.